Molecule: ribosomal RNA, 441 nt
Filed under: uncultured bacterium
Lineage: Bacteria
Description: partial 16S ribosomal RNA
Rfam family: Bacterial small subunit ribosomal RNA
Source: RNAcentral
CCUACGGGAGGCAGCAGUGGGGAAUAUUGCACAAUGGGGGGAACCCUGAUGCAGCGACGCCGCGUGGGUGAAGAAGUAUUUCGGUAUGUAAAGCCCUAUCAGCAGGGAAGAACAAUGACGGUACCUGACUAAGAAGCACCGGCUAAAUACGUGCCAGCAGCCGCGGUAAUACGUAUGGUGCAAGCGUUAUCCGGAUUUACUGGGUGUAAAGGAAGCGCAGGCGGCGCGUUAAGCCUGGUGUGAAAGCCCGCGGCCCAACCGCGGGACUGCAUUGGGAACUGGCGCGCUGGAGUGCCGGAGGGGUAGGCGGAAUUCCUAGUGUAGCGGUGAAAGGCGUAGAUAUUAGGAGGAACACCAGUGGCGAAGGCGGCUUACUGGACUGUAACUGACGUUGAGGCUCGAAAGCGUGGGGAGCAAACAGGAUUAGAUACCCUAGUAGUC